GAUGAACGCUGGCGGCGUGCCUAAUACAUGCAAGUCGAGCGAACGGACGAGAAGCUUGCUUCUCUGAUGUUAGCGGCGGACGGGUGAGUAACACGUGGAUAACCUACCUAUAAGACUGGGAUAACUUCGGGAAACCGGAGAUAAUACCGGAUAAUAUUUUGAACCGCAUGGUUCAAAAGUGAAAGACGGUCUUGCUGUCACUUAUAGCUGGAUCCGCGCUGCAUUAGCUAGUUGGUAAGGUAACGGCUUACCAAGGCAACGAUGCAUAGCCGACCUGAGAGGGUGAUCGGCCACACUGGAACUGAGACACGGUCCAGACUCCUACGGGAGGCAGCAGUAGGGAAUCUUCCGCAAUGGGCGAAAGCCUGACGGAGCGACGCCGCGUGAGUGAUGAAGGUCUUCGGAUCGUAAAACUCUGUUAUUAGGGAAGAACAUAUGUGUAAGUAACUGUGCACAUCUUGACGGUACCUAAUCAGAAAGCCACGGCUAACUACGUG
RNAcentral lists this ribosomal RNA (497 nucleotides) under uncultured bacterium. RNAcentral describes it as "partial 16S ribosomal RNA". It matches the Rfam family "Bacterial small subunit ribosomal RNA", at positions 28 to 507 of the family's 1533-position model. The record is from RNAcentral.